GAUGAACGCUGGCGGCGUGCCUAAUACAUGCAAGUCGAGCGAACGGACGAGAAGCUUGCUUUUCUGAUGUUAGCGGCGGACGGGUGAGUAACACGUGGAUAACCUACCUAUAAGACUGGGAUAACUUCGGGAAACCGGAGCUAAUACCGGAUAAUAUUUUGAACCGCAUGGUUCAAAAGUGAAAGACGGUCUUGCUGUCACUUAUAGAUGGAUCCGCGCUGCAUUAGCUAGUUGGUAAGGUAACGGCUUACCAAGGCAACGAUGCAUAGCCGACCUGAGAGGGUGAUCGGCCACACUGGAACUGAGACACGGUCCAGACUCCUACGGGAGGCAGCAGUAGGGAAUCUUCCGCAAUGGGCGAAAGCCUGACGGAGCAACGCCGCGUGAGUGAUGAAGGUCUUCGGAUCGUAAAACUCUGUUAUUAGGGAAGAACAAAUGUGCAAGUAACUGUGCACAUCUUGACGGUACCUAAUCAGAAAGCCACGGCUAACUACGUG
This 497-nucleotide ribosomal RNA is filed under the name uncultured bacterium. RNAcentral describes it as "partial 16S ribosomal RNA". It matches the Rfam family "Bacterial small subunit ribosomal RNA", at positions 28 to 507 of the family's 1533-position model. The record is from RNAcentral.